UACGUAGGGGGCGAGCGUUGUCCGGAUUUAUUGGGCGUAAAGACCUCGUAGGCGGUUUGGUAAGUCAGCGGUGAAAUUUCGGAGCCCAACUCCGAACGGUCCGUUGAGACUGCCAUGACUUGAGUCCGGUAGGGGAGUGCGGAACUCCUGGUGUAGCGGUGAAAUGCGCAGAUAUCAGGAAGAACACCGGUGGCGAAGGCGGCACUCUGGGCCGGUACUGACGCUGAGGAGGGAAAGCUAGGGGAGCAAACAGG
This 254-nucleotide ribosomal RNA is filed under the name uncultured bacterium. RNAcentral describes it as "partial 16S ribosomal RNA". It matches the Rfam family "Bacterial small subunit ribosomal RNA", at positions 524 to 776 of the family's 1533-position model. The record is from RNAcentral.